GAUGAACGCUGGCGGCGUGCCUAACACAUGCAAGUCGAGCGAGAUAAAUGUGAGUGGAGACUUCGGUCAAAGCAAUCAUUUUGAAAGCGGCGGACGGGUGAGUAACGCGUGAGCAAUCUGCCCCAUACAAAGGGAUACCCACUGGAAAUGGUGAUUAAUACCUUAUAAGACCACGAAGCCGCCUGGCUUAGUGGCCAAAGAUUUAUCGGUAUGGGAUGAGCUCGCGUCUGAUUAGCUAGUUGGUGAGGUAAUGGCUCACCAAGGCGACGAUCAGUAGCCGACCUGAGAGGGUGAACGGCCACACUGGAACUGAGACACGGUCCAGACUCCUACGGGAGGCAGCAGUGGGGAAUAUUGCACAAUGGGCGCAAGCCUGAUGCAGCAACGCCGCGUGAAUGAUGAAGGCCUUCGGGUCGUAAAGUUCUGUCCUAAGGGAAGAAUACAGUGACGGUACCUUAGGAGGAAGCCCCGGCUAACUACGUGCCAGCCGCCGCGGUAA
Molecule: ribosomal RNA, 499 nt
Filed under: uncultured bacterium
Lineage: Bacteria
Description: partial 16S ribosomal RNA
Rfam family: Bacterial small subunit ribosomal RNA
Source: RNAcentral